Molecule: transfer RNA, 71 nt
Filed under: Candidatus Woesearchaeota archaeon
Lineage: Archaea; Nanobdellati; Candidatus Woesearchaeota
Description: tRNA-Gly
Rfam family: tRNA
About the family: Transfer RNA (tRNA) molecules are approximately 80 nucleotides in length. Their secondary structure includes four short double-helical elements and three loops (D, anti-codon, and T loops).
Source: RNAcentral
GCGCCGAUGGUUAAAUGGUAGAAUACGGCCUUGCCAAGGCUGUGACCCGGGUUCGAUUCCCGGUCGGCGCA